Oncorhynchus tshawytscha (Chinook salmon) is the source of this 763-nucleotide long non-coding RNA. Lineage: Eukaryota; Metazoa; Chordata; Actinopteri; Salmoniformes; Salmonidae. The record is from Ensembl.
AGAAUAACAAUAGAGGGGCUGUAUACAGGGUAUUACGGUACAGAGUCAAUGUGGAGGCUAUAUAUAGGGGGUGUCGGUACAGAGUCAAUGUGGAGGCUAUAUAUAGGGGGUGUCGGUACAGAGUCAAUGUGGAGGCUAUAUAUAGGGGGUGUCGGUACAGAGUCAAUGUGGAGGCUAUAUAUAGGGGUUGCCGGUACAGAGUCAGUGUGGAGGCUAUAUAUAGGGGGUGUCGGUACAGAGUCAAUGUGGAGGCUAUAUACAGGGGGUACCGGUACAGAGUCAAUGUGGAGGCUAUAUACAGGGGGUACUGGUACAGAGUCAAUGUGGAGGCUAUAUACAGGGGUGCCGGUACAGAGUCAGUGUGGAGGCUAUAUAUAGGGGGUGUCGGUACAGAGUCAAUGUGGAGGCUAUAUACAGGGGGUACCGGUACAGAGUCAAUGUGGAGGCUAUAUACAGGGGGGGUACUGGUACAGAGUCAGUGUGGAGGCUAUAUACAGGGGGUGCCGGUACAGAGUCAAUGUGGAGGCUAUAUAUAGGGGGUGUCGGUACAGAGUCAAUGUGGAGGCUAUAUACAAGGGGGUACUGGUACAGAGUCAAUGUGGAGGCUAUAUACAGGGGGUACCGGUACAGAGUCAAUGUGGAGGCUAUAUACAGGGGGUGUCGGUACAGAGUCAAUGUGGAGGCUAUAUACAGGGUGUACCGGUACAGAGUCAAUGUGGAGGCUAUAUACAGGGGGUACCGGUACAGAGUCAGUGUGGAGGCU